Molecule: ribosomal RNA, 493 nt
Filed under: uncultured bacterium
Lineage: Bacteria
Description: partial 16S ribosomal RNA
Rfam family: Bacterial small subunit ribosomal RNA
Source: RNAcentral
AUUGAACGCUGGCGGCAUGCCUUACACAUGCAAGUCGAACGGUAACAGGUUAAGCUGACGAGUGGCGAACGGGUGAGUAAUAUAUCGGAACGUGCCCAGUCGUGGGGGAUAACGUAGCGAAAGCUACGCUAAUACCGCAUACGAUCUACGGAUGAAAGCGGGGGAUCGCAAGACCUCGCGCGAUUGGAGCGGCCGAUAUCAGAUUAGGUUGUUGGUGAGGUAAAAGCUCACCAAGCCUGCGAUCUGUAGCUGGUCUGAGAGGACGACCAGCCACACUGGAACUGAGACACGGUCCAGACUCCUACGGGAGGCAGCAGUGGGGAAUUUUGGACAAUGGACGCAAGUCUGAUCCAGCAAUGCCGCGUGCAGGACGAAGGCCUUCGGGUUGUAAACUGCUUUUGUACGGAACGAAACGGUGAGCUCUAAUACAGUUUGCUAAUGACGGUACCGUAAGAAUAAGCACCGGCUAACUACGUGCCAGCAGCCGCCGCGG